RNAcentral lists this long non-coding RNA (254 nucleotides) under Olea europaea (common olive). RNAcentral's name for it is "long non-coding RNA (OEUR_LNC008575)". Lineage: Eukaryota; Viridiplantae; Streptophyta; Magnoliopsida; Lamiales; Oleaceae. The record is from RNAcentral.
UUUACAACUGCAUCAUACAUCUCAACCCCAUCACUCCAUAACAAUAUUAAAUUGUCUAUAAGUGGUGCCAGAUAAACAUCUAUGUCAUUACCUGACUGUUUUGGUCCUGGGAUUAAUAGACUCAACAUCAAAUUUUCCUUCGACAUGCAUGAUGAGGGAGGCAAGUUGUAUAUAGUUAAAAUAACUGGCCAACAACUAUAUUUAGAGCUAAGAUCUUUGAAAGGAUUGAAUCCAUCGGUGGCAAGACCUAAUCU